CAAAAUUCCUGUUGCAGGAUGAUGAUGAAACAAUCUCUGCUGCCUCAGAGUGGGAGGAUCCUGGAAGGUCUAUGGAGAAUGUGAUUGGUGAUCAUGAAUCUGAUGAGGAACCAUCCACCUCCAAAGCUCAGCUUGGAACAUUGGCUGUAAAGGAUUUAUACAAGGUCCACCUGAAAAAAACAAAUUGAAAAGUGUGAUCUUCAGAUGGAACAUAUAAAACUCCAAAUAAAACAGACAAGACUGGAAAUUGAGUUGCUGGAAUAUAAAUUAAAGGUGGGAGUAGUUGCUGUGAGUGUAUAUAUGUUCUUACCAAGAAUAAGGACAAGAAAAUUAACUUGUUGGCAUUUUUUUU
This is a long non-coding RNA of Trichomycterus rosablanca, 352 nucleotides long. RefSeq lists it as uncharacterized. The transcript is spliced from 3 exons. Lineage: Eukaryota; Metazoa; Chordata; Actinopteri; Siluriformes; Trichomycteridae. The record is from RefSeq and is a predicted model, not a curated record.